UUUGGGAAAUGAUGCUAAGAUCCAAACUACAUUAUCUGAGUUUUCCAUGCUGAAUGCAUGCUUGCACGUCGGUCUGAACCCAAA
Nelumbo nucifera (sacred lotus) is the source of this 84-nucleotide non-coding RNA. The record is from Rfam. NCBI's taxonomy places the organism in Eukaryota, Viridiplantae, Streptophyta, Magnoliopsida, Proteales, Nelumbonaceae.